CGGACCGUGUACUCCCAGAUGGCGUCGGAGUCGAGCAGCGCCUGCUCACCGAGGUAGGCGCCGUCGGCGAGGACGCCGAGGGACUCGUCCUCGCCGUAGGGUCCGGUGCCGAGCUUUUCCACCCUGCCGUGCGCCAGCAGGUACACCUCGUCGGUCGGACUGCCGAACGAGGCGAUCAGCGUCCCUGCCGCGAACUCCCGCUGCUGGCAGCGCUGGGCGAGCUCCGAGAGCACGUCCUCGUCGUCGUACGACCGCAACGCCGGCAGUUCCGUCAGCUCGGCCGGGAUGACCUCGACGCGGUCUCCGGUCUUCACGAACGUGAUGCGUCCGUCCCCGACGGCGUACGUCAGGCGCCGGUUCACCCGGUACGUGCCGCCCUGCACAUUCACCCAGGGCAGCAUGCGCAGCAGCCAGCGGGAGCUGAUCUCCUGCAUCUGGGGUGCGGACUUGGUCGUGGUGGCCAGGUUCCGCGCGGCCGCAGUGCCGAGACUCUGCUG
RNAcentral lists this antisense RNA (497 nucleotides) under Streptomyces caeruleatus. RNAcentral's name for it is "Streptomyces sp. GIMN4.002 Saccharopolyspora sRNA 350". It matches the Rfam family "Saccharopolyspora sRNA 350". Lineage: Bacteria; Bacillati; Actinomycetota; Actinomycetes; Kitasatosporales; Streptomycetaceae. The record is from Rfam by way of RNAcentral.